Molecule: long non-coding RNA, 3801 nt
Organism: Alexandromys fortis (reed vole)
Lineage: Eukaryota; Metazoa; Chordata; Mammalia; Rodentia; Cricetidae
Exons: 2
Source: RefSeq, a predicted model, not a curated record
ACAGGGCUGCGUCUCUCCACACGGACCCCAGAUUUCGACGCCAGGGCUCGGCCUCGCCGACAAACACAAAAACCGCUGCAAGCGACAGCGAGGGUGGGGAAGCAGCGUGAGGGAGACGAGGGAGAGUAAAGCAAAGGGAAGGCCGGGAAGUAAUGUCGAACGCACUUCCGGCUACGGUAGGCCGAAGGGGUCAAAUUUCACAGCCUGCCAUCGUGGACCGGUGAGAAUAAGAUUAUGGAGGCAUCAAGCAGGGCAUUGCUGGAGGAGGAGCUGAUUGGACAAAGUGGACUUUGACAGGUCUAUUUUAUGAAGGCUCCCCGCUCUAGUGGUCCAUUUAUUAUUGUUCAAAUAUUUUUUAAUGUUUUUGUUUCGUUGGUUUUGGUUUUUAGAGACAGGGUUUCUCUGUGUAGUCCUGGCUGUCCACCUGUAGCCCACCUGCCUCUGCCUCUGCCUACCAAGUGCUGGGAUUAAAGGCACUUGCCACCACUAUUGGCGCCCCUACGUCUCUCUCCCUCUCCCUUUCUCUGUAUGUGUGUGUGUGUCACUGAAAAAAAUUAUAUAUAAAUAUAUGUUUGCAUAUAUUAGACACGUGUAAAUAUAUAAUGCAUGCAUAUGCAUACGAGUAUGCAUGUAUGUAUGUGCAUACAAGUAUGCGUGCAUGCACAUGUAUGCCCGUACACAUGUAUGUGCUGCAUAUGUAUUAUACACAUAUGCAUACAUGUUUAUAUGCACAUAUAAAUAUGUAAAUAUAUUUUUUUAAAGCUAGCCAUUGGGAAGCAGAGGCAAGUAGAUAUCUGAUGGAAGAAGGUCAUUGGUUAAAAAAUAAAGAAACUGCUUGGCCCUGAUAGGUAGAAAAUUAGGUAGGUGGAGUAAACAGAACAGAAUGCUGGGAGGAAGAGGAAGUGAGCUCAGACUCGAUAGCUCUCCUCUCUGGGGCAGAUGCUCCCCUCUCCCAGGCAGACGCGAUUAAGCUCCAACCCAGGAUGGACGUAGGCUAGAAUCUUUCCGAGACAGGUUGGCUCCUAGCAGCAGCACUCUAUUUCCUCCAAAGAAGACAAAAGACAAAUGGGCACACAACAACGUCCAUCUGCAAUUCACUUCAACUGACAAGCAUUGACCACUAGGAGAAACUGCCUUUCAUCUAAACUGAAGAUCACCAGACAGUGGACAGACUUACCGGAAUCGACAGCCUAGCUGCUCAGGUGAAGGUAGGCUUGUCUUCCUACAGAUUUGUUAACCCACAGGAUCUUCUGGAGCCUGGCAGGCCUUGCGCUAAACAGCAAAAGGCAAAUACGUAGGUGCCAACCAAGGUAAGUUCUCUGUCAUAUUUUAAUCAAUAACUCAAAUAAAAUUUUAUCCUUCUCAAAAAUCUCUGAUGCAAUUUGACAGCUGAGAGGUUUGUCAUUUAAAAGGACAACCUCACCAAACAAGUUAACAAAAUUCUCUCUCAUGCUGCCUUUCAUACUCUUAAAGAUACUUUUCAUUAUGCAAAAAUAUCUGUCACAGGGCUGGAGAGAUGACUCAGAGGUUAAGAGCACUGGCUGCUCUUCCAGAGGUCCUGAGUUCAAUUCCCAGCAACCACAUGGGGACUCACAACCAUCUGUACUGAGAUCUGGCGCCCUCCUCUGGCGUGCGGGCAUACAUCGAGGCAGAAUGUUGUAUACAUAAUAAAUAAAUACAUCUUUAAAAAAAAUAUCUGUCACAGGGGGCUGGAGAGAUGGCUUGGUGGUUAAGAGCAUUGCCUGCUCUUCCAAAGGUUCUGAGUUCAAUUCCCACCACCACAUGGUGGCUCACAACCAUCUGUAAUGAGGUCUGGUGCCCUUUUUACAUAAUAAAUAAAUAUUAUUAAAAAAUAUAUCUGUCACAGUCAUAAACCCAAAAAAUUCUUAUGAGUUCCAGGGAGCCAAAUUAAAGGAUCCACCUUAAACAGGUCAAAUACACCCCCUCUCAAUUCCCUGGUCUAAAAAUUUUUUUCUUCUUAAACUUAACUUUGUCCUCUGUUCUGCCAAUACCUUAAACAGGUGUAAAAGACACUAGAUAUUUCCAUACCACAAAUCCUGGCCAGGAGCAAUCUUUUUUUUUUUGUUUUGUUUUGUUUUGUUUUGUUUUUCGAGACAGGGUUUCUCUGUAGCUUUGGAGCCUGUCCUGGAACUAGCUCUGUAGACCAGGCUGGUCUCGAACUCACAGAGAUUCACCUGCCUCUGCCUCCUGAGUGCUGGGAUUAAAGGCGUAAGCCACCAUCGCCCGGCUCAGGAGCAAUCUUUUACAUUGUAUGAAAAUCUAAAGAUUUAAGAGCUGCAUAAACUAGCUGAAGAAGCAUUCUCAACUCUGGUGGUUCUCUUCUCCUGUAAAUAGGAGACUGUAGCCUUUGGGAGCAUGAUUAUUCAUAAAGCAUUAUAAUUUAUCCUGACAAGAAAGUAUGGCUCCAAGACACAGGGCCCAAAAGUAUCUCUCUCCACUAAUCUCUUUUCUUCUCAGAGAUCAGCAGUCAAUGACGGAUUUGAAGCUUCUUCAAAUGCCUAAGACAGGAGCUUGCAUAUAAGAAUACCUGUUCCAAAGAUGGGAAAAUUUGGGUAAAUGAAGAGGACUUUGCCUAAGCCAGGCAUGAUCUGUCUGUCCUGUUGCAGAAGCAUAGGCUUUAUUAAAAUUAAUAAGAGAGAGUGGAUUGUAGGACCAUAUUUCUACGUGGUGUGACAGCCAAGUUCUCAGGCCAAGCCUAGUAUCCAGAGAAGUCAGGUGACCUUCCAGACAGGCUGUUGCUAACCUAACAAAAGGUCAGGAUGUUGUUUUGUUCCUUUCUUUGUAAUUUGGAGGAUGCCUGAUAGAGAUGCUAAUUCAAGCCUACAGUCCAGCUAGCAUACAGAGCACACAGGUAGCUGUGGAUGAGAGUAAAAGACAUUCACCUGGUUACCUAGGAGACAGAAUACUAAUGUAUUUACCCCUCAGUGUAUGUUUUGGUAUAAAAGCUGUUUGGAGAAUAAAGCGAGAGGAAUUCUCAGGAACUCAGGACUUCAUGAGGGACCACUGAGAAUCUCCCUCCUGAUAAAGCCAUGUGAGCUGUGUCUUUAUUCCUGCACCUCCAUGCCAGUCCAGAGAGAUAGUUUAUGUUGGGGUCUAGUUCAAAGAAAUAAUUUAUGGUACACCGGACCCCGACAGUCCUGGGACGCCAGUGCUGGUACCACCUCUCCCGGCUCAAGAGGACACCUAUCCAGCAACUGGGACCUGGUUCUCCAAGAUAUCCCAAUGAAGAGUGUACCUGCUGUUGUGUUUGGCUCAUUCACCCUUGUCUCUCUUGGACAGGGCAUUCCUCCAUUCCAUUCCUUCUGGCAGUCUCCUCUCUUCCUAUGGCUAACCCCAUUCAUAGCGCUCGUACUAUUAACCUAUUUUUUCUUCUAGCAACCUGCCUUCUUAGCCUCCUCAUGGAGCAGAUGCCUGAGGUCUCCAGGAUAACAGAUAACCAAAUGCUUCUUCAUCCAUACCUCCAAGUUAAGUGUGGGCCCACGACUCCCAGCUCUCCUGUCCCCACAUCAUCCCAUGCCUGCAGGAAGUAGCCAGACUUGAACCUACAUCCAUAUAGCCAAGGAGUCUGGGAUGCUUAGAUGGAAACGCCACCUGGUCUCACUCUUCCCUUUCCAGACCUGAGAAAACCCACCCACCAAGAUCCUCCUCCCUCGAGAUCCUCAAGACCACUCCUACAGGCUGUUUAGGAUGCAGUCCCCCCUCACCUGCCACGCGAUUUCUGUUCCCCCACCCAAGACCACCCGGGAGUUGCUUUGCUCAUUAAACCUAGACUUUUAAUUA